Oryza sativa Japonica Group (Japanese rice) is the source of this 783-nucleotide non-coding RNA. NCBI's taxonomy places the organism in Eukaryota, Viridiplantae, Streptophyta, Magnoliopsida, Poales, Poaceae. The record is from RefSeq and is a predicted model, not a curated record.
CGGCGCCCCAAUGGCCUAUAAAUAGCUGCCACCCAAGCAGAACAGAUAUCAUAUCAAAACAGCAGAAAUCUCUUCUGAAGAGAAAAAAACUUCAGUCUAGCUGCACACUAGCUAGCUAGCCAGUUCACUUCCAAAGAAAGACAGUAGUCCAAUCCAAGGAUGUCUUCUAGGUCAAGCAGCUCCUCCCGCAACAGCAACAGUGUCAACAUGGACUCAGAGUGGAGCAAAAAGGAGAACAAGCUGUUCGAGGAGGCUCUUGCCUACUACGGCGAGGGCGCGCCUGACCUCUUUCACAAGGUGUCUCGCGCCAUGGGAGGCACCAAGACAGCCGAUGAGGUGCGCCGCCACUAUGAGAUCCUCGAGGACGACCUCAAGCUGAUAGAGGCAAGAAGAGUCCCGUUCCCCAAGUACAAUACACAGGGAGCAUGGAACUGAUAGGGGUGGAAGCAUCUGAGGUUCCAGACAACAGGAAAAAAAUUCCAAUAUAAAUUAUAUUCCUUGCUAGCUGUGGCUAAGUUACUGAAGGAAUCAAGGAAGUAUAUUGAUAUUGUUAUUGCCUAAGAAGAUUGUGGUCGCUUGGUUAUAAAUAAAAGAAGAAAAGACUUGUUUGUACAUACUCUAGGUUGUAAAGCAAAUCAGUGUCGAUCUUGCAGAAACUAGCCUGCAUUUGGCAUUGUGUGUGGUUGUUAAACAUUCCAGCUAAAUUAUGUAGUAAACAUCAGUGAUGUAAGACUUCUGUACUUGUGUGCUAGUGAUUAUAAAGUUGUGCUUGCUAGAAUCUCA